This 497-nucleotide ribosomal RNA is filed under the name uncultured bacterium. RNAcentral's name for it is "partial 16S ribosomal RNA". It matches the Rfam family "Bacterial small subunit ribosomal RNA", at positions 28 to 507 of the family's 1533-position model. The record is from RNAcentral.
GAUGAACGCUGGCGGCGUGCUUAACACAUGCAAGUCGAACGGAAAGACGAGGAUCUUGCUGCUCUCACGUUAGCGGCGGGCGGGUGAGACACACGAGUAUACCCCCCCUAUCUGACUGGGAUAACCACGGGAAACCGGAUAAAACACCGGAUAAGCUCCUGAACCGUGGGGUUCGAUAGUGAUAGUCGGCUUUGCUGGAACGACUCGAUGGUUACCAGCUGUAUUGGCUAGUUGGUAGGGUAACGGCUUACCACGGCGACGAUGCGUGGCCGAACUGAGAGAGGGAUCGGCCACACUAGAACUGAGACACGGACCAGACUCCUACGGGAGGCAGCAGUAGGGAAUCUUCGGCAAUGGGCGAAAGCCUGACGGAACGACGCCGCGUGAGUGAUGAAGGUCUUCGGUUCGGAAAACUCUGUUAUUGGGGAAGAACAGAUGUGGAAGGAGAUAUAGACGUCGUGACGGUACCUGAUCAAGAAGCAACGGCUAACUACGUG